CACAAAGCUGCGAGUGAAACAACAUAGGAGCAGAACUCUCUCGAGAAUAUCGGCGCUCUCUCUCUCUACAAAUUAAAUUAGGUUUUCAUCUAAAAUUUCAUCAAAAUCAAAACCGCUCAAAUCAAAAUGUGAAUCUCAUUUGUCAGGAAUACCAAAAGAAUCACACAGAAAGAAUCAUUUGAAGCGUAUUUGGUGUUGUUAUGGUUGAUUCUCGGUCUUGAUAGAAUCUCACCUAUCUCUUUUCCUCGGUAAGUUAAAAUCAUUUUCUUGAGAGACGUUUUACAUGUCGGCAUUCAAUUCAGUUUGAAUUAUUAUAUGAGCUUUUUAUGUUCUUUCAGUUAUGUCCUCGUACCAGUUAGAUCUCGACUUUGAUAUCGCAAUAAUGUGAUUUUCUCUUCCUAGGAUUUGAAAGGGAGUUGUUUUCAGGCCUUGCCAUAGUUCUGUUAUUAUUGCGUUUGAUAUGAAGUUUGAAAAGAAUUGCAAAGGAGCAGUUUAUUAAAUA
Nicotiana attenuata is the source of this 502-nucleotide long non-coding RNA. RefSeq lists it as uncharacterized. The transcript is spliced from 2 exons. NCBI's taxonomy places the organism in Eukaryota, Viridiplantae, Streptophyta, Magnoliopsida, Solanales, Solanaceae. The record is from RefSeq and is a predicted model, not a curated record.